GAUGAACGCUGGCGGCGUGCCUAAUACAUGCAAGUCGAGCGAACGGACGAGAUGCUUGCUUCUCUGAUGUUAGCGGCGGACGGGUGAGUAACACGUGGAUAACCUACCUAUAAGACUGGGAUAACUUCGGGAAACCGGAGCUAAUACCGGAUUAUAUUUUGAACCGCAUGGUUCAAAAGUGAAAGACGGUCUUGCUGUCACUUAUAGAUGGAGCCGCGCUGCAUUAGCUAGUUGGUAAGGUAACGGCUUACCAAGGCAACGACGCAUAGCCGACCUGAGAGGGUGAUCGGCCACACUGGAACUGAGACACGGUCCAGACUCCUACGGGAGGCAGCAGUAGGGAAUCUUCCGCAAUGGGCGAAAGCCUGACGGAGCAACGCCGCGUGAGUGAUGAAGGUCUUCGGAUCGUAAAACUCUGUUAUUAGGGAAGAACAUAUGUGUAAGUAACUGUGCACGUCUUGACGGUACCUAAACAGAAAGCCACGGCUAACUACGUG
Molecule: ribosomal RNA, 497 nt
Filed under: uncultured bacterium
Lineage: Bacteria
Description: partial 16S ribosomal RNA
Rfam family: Bacterial small subunit ribosomal RNA
Source: RNAcentral